AGGACGAACGCUGGCGGCGUGCUUAACACAUGCAAGUCGAGCGGAAAGGCCCUUCGGGGUACUCGAGCGGCGAACGGGUGAGUAACACGUGAGCAACCUGCCCUUAGCUUCGGGAUAGCUCCGGGAAACCGGAAUUAAAUACCGGAUAUGACUAUGGCCGACAUCAGCCAUGGUGGAAAGUUUUUCGGCUAGGGAUGGACUCGCGGCCUAUCAGCUAGUUGGUGAGGUAACGGCUCACCAAGGCGACGACGGGUA
RNAcentral lists this ribosomal RNA (255 nucleotides) under uncultured bacterium. Its description in RNAcentral is "partial small subunit ribosomal RNA". It matches the Rfam family "Bacterial small subunit ribosomal RNA", at positions 26 to 285 of the family's 1533-position model. The record is from RNAcentral.